Amphiprion ocellaris (clown anemonefish) is the source of this 585-nucleotide long non-coding RNA. The record is from Ensembl. Lineage: Eukaryota; Metazoa; Chordata; Actinopteri; Pomacentridae.
GCGGGUCGGAGAGAAGGAGGAGGCAGAGGAGGCCCGACAGACGGGGAACAGAAACUGACGGAGGACAAACGGGAAGCCGUCGCUCAUCGUAGGAUUCAUCACAGCUUUGAAACUUUCUGAAGGAUCAAUAAUCAUCGUCUACUGGAGUUAAAGCAACAUCCAGAUCAUUUCAACUGUAACUGAGUGAGCUGCAGGAGGAGGAAUCGUCCCUUUCUGAGAAGAGCUGCAGGACUUUAAGAUUAAAAACGAACCACAGCGAAGGAAAAUGUUACUCGUUUUGAAAGAGAAGAGUCACUUCAAGUUCCAUGUCUUCAAAUCAAAGAUUAUUUUGUCAUUUUGUACAAGUUGUGGUCAUUUACGAGACAUUUUUUGUCACUGCGCAGAUUUCAAGACAUUUUUGACAAUUUUUGACACAGUGGACAAAUUUAGGUAAUUCUGGACAUGCUGUACAGCAUUUUGACAAAAUUCCAGUCAUUUUGGACAAAUGUUGAAUCAUUUUGGGAACAUUCUGAGUUAUUUUGGACAAAAUUUGAGACAUUUUAUGCCGUUUUUGAGUCAUUUUGGACAAAUCUAGAUUGAUAUAAG